Molecule: ribosomal RNA, 750 nt
Filed under: Blattabacterium sp. (Supella longipalpa)
Lineage: Bacteria; Pseudomonadati; Bacteroidota; Flavobacteriia; Flavobacteriales; Blattabacteriaceae
Description: bacterial SSU rRNA
Rfam family: Bacterial small subunit ribosomal RNA
Source: RNAcentral
CAACAUGAAAUCUGAAUAAGAUUUUGAUGGCGACCGGCGAACGGGUGCGUAACACGUACGUAACUUACCUUUUGCUAGAAAAUAGCCUGAGGAAACUUAGAUUAAUAUUCUAUAGAAUAAAAAAUUCGCAUGAAUUUUUUAUUAAAGCAGUAAUGCGGCAAAAGAUAGGCGUGCGUCCGAUUAGUUAGUUGGUAAGGUAAAGGCUUACCAAGACAAUGAUCGGUAGGGGACCUGAGAGGGUGACCCCCCACACUGGUACUGAGACACGGACCAGACUCCUACGGGAGGCAGCAGUGAGGAAUAUUGGUCAAUGGAGGAAACUCUGAACCAGCCACGCCGCGUGCAGGAAGAAUGCCUUAUUAGGUUGUAAACUGCUUUUGUAUAGGAAUAAAAAUUUUUACGUGCUAAAAAUUCUGAAGGUACUAUACGAAUAAGUGUCGGCAAACUCCGUGCCAGCAGCCGCGGUAAUACGGGGGACACAAGCGUUAUCCGGUUUUAUUGGGUUUAAAGGGUGCGUAGGCGGUUUGUUAAGUCAGUAGUGAAAUAUUUCAGCUCAACUGAAAAAUUGCUAUUGAUACUAAUAGACUUGAGUGAGACUGGAGUAACUGGAAUGUGUGGUGUAGCGGUGAAAUGCAUAGAUAUCACACAGAACACCAAUCGCGAAAGCAGGUUACUAAGUCUAUUUACUGACGCUGAGGCACGAAAGCGUGGGGAGCAAACAGGAUUAGAUACCCUGGUAGUCCACGCCGU